AUUUGUUCUACAGGAUAUGGGGGGCAGGUGACAGAUUAUCUCUGAGCAAGGAAGACCUCUUUUUUCUUAGAGAGCAGAGUAGUGAAAGACAUGUAUAAGUUAAUUUGAAGUAAGAUACAAUGACCCCGAAAGCAAAGGCAAGUGUUUUUUGUUUUAUAUAUAAAAUAGAAGUGAGGGACUCCACAGAGUAGUGUAUGCACUGAAAGGGAUAAACUAAGAUUAUCACAAGGUAUCUCCAGAAGUUGUGAUAGUACCGUGGGUUAUUUGUCAAAGCUAGAGAGAGGAAGACUGUAGGAAGCAAAGAGAGAGCUUGAAUGACAUUUUGGCUGUCUGGCUAAAUUUGAAAGGCCUUUGUAGCCUCCAUACAAAUAAAGCAGUAAGGUUAGAUGCGAGCCUGAGACUCUCCAGCAGAAACUAGAACUUGAGGAGCAGUAGCCUCUACAGCAAUCAAAGGGUACUGCACUAUCUUCCUUAACUUUUGUGAGCCUGACUGUCAGAUAAAACAUGUGGUUUCUUUUAAAGUCCUAGAAAACAAACAGCUUGCUAAGGUACCUGCAGGUGAUGUCAAUUAGCAAAAGUAGAAUUCUGAUGCUCAGGAGCAGACGUUUAAAACCCUUACAGCCUAAGCAGAAGAACUGAGGUAGGAGCAACUUUAAGGUGGGCUUUCAGAGCAGGAUAGGUGUGCUACACUACUCAGUUAAAAGAUGUUCCUUUGUUGUUGGUAACUGGGUACUACUGAUCUGUUAUUUUGGCUUGGUAGGAAAUUUGCUCUUUGAAUGAAGGUGGUAGCUUUGGAACUUCUCCAUAUAACUGGCCUAGAGCUAGAUACAUGUAUGCCAGCAGAUGGUAGAUUGACUACAGCUUCAGUUUAGACUAAAGGUGUAGGAUAUGUGCUUUCUCUGUGGAUAUGGCUGUUGAGUCUGAAUCAAGCUUCCUAAAGGAGAAAAGACUCACGUCCCUGCUGGACUCUUCAAAAGGAUGGAAAUGAGUUUGUUCUGGAUCCAUCAGAAAAGCAUUUCCAGUGCAGCUGACUGAAGAAAUGGGAGAGAUGAGCUCCAGAAUAGCCUUUAGGUCCAGGGAAAACUUCAGGGAGGUAAAAGAGCGUUGACAGCUGAAAAGGUCGCAUUGACAGAUGGCCUCAUCACUCGGGCAUUACAGACCACCUUGAAGAUAUCGGCACUGCUGGCCUUUGAAGUCAGAAUAAUCACCAAGCCAUUUGAUACUCCAUCAGAUGAAAUGGCCCUGUCAGAAGAGGCUGGCUCUCAGGUGUGCUGAUUGUCUAGCGAAAGCAGGUAACUCGACACAGUGUGCUGUGGCACAGAUUCACAGGCCUUGUGGGAUGCUGUAACAGAUGUCUUCUUAGAUGCACUUCUUCACAUCUCUUACAAAAAGAUUCCCAAACCACUCCUAACAGAAAUUAUAGUGUGCCAAUUUCCUGCCUGCAAUAUUCCCACAAUACUCCAAAUUCCUGUGAAGAUAGGCAAAUGUAUCUGCUGUAAUUAGGGUCACAGUUGCAGAGAUUCAGGUGACAGAUCCAUGUAUAAAUCCUGUCAAAGCCUUGAUUUAGGUAUUGGAUAGCAGACGUUAUGAGGCAAGGUUCUACUGUUUUACAGCAGAAAGCUGAUGAAAUCUGGCACAAGAUUAUUUUCAGAAAAAAAAAACCUUUUUUUUCCUUAAGAAUAUCCAGGACAGUAGCAGUUUGUUUUCCCCUCAGGUUACCUUGACCUCUCAAUAUAUGUCAUUAUCUUUGUUAUGAUGUACACUCAACAAAUAUUUAUCUUAAAGAACGGUUUAGCAGAAACCAAAUUUUAAAAACCAUUACCUUAAAUUCCACUUUUACAUGUCCAUGUAAAUACUUAUUUUCAAAACUGGGUAUUGGUUGGAGAAUCAAGUGCUUCACAAACCCAUCGGACAGUGAGACUGGAAAGGAAAAAUUGAGGAGUUUGGGCUUUUUUUCAGUUCUAACAAAAUUUCAGCUUGUGGCACAACAAUGAUGUUUCUUCUCAAAGAACAAAUAUUUCUGAUGGCUUCAAAAUCAGUUCUCCAGAAAGUUAAAGUCAUUCGUUUAUGUUUAGGGUGAACUGGAGUUGAAAGCAAGAAAUAUUAAGCUGAAAAGAAAUUUAAACAUCUUGUUAAUUGAAAUUUUGACUAAUCCAUAAGGUUUACGUGGGCAGAAGCAAGCAAAAAUAUUUGUUUCAGCAUUAGCAGUAACUUUAGUGGUAGUUUAUGUCAGCGUUGGGGAAAGUUACGCUAUAGUUGUGUCUGUUCAUAUUACAGGAAGGAAACUCACUUUUCCAUGAAAGACUCUGGCUUGUUCAAAUGGUAAUUCUUCAUCAAGAAGAAUCACAGAAUGUUCACUCUGUAGUAAAUGUCAUUAAAGCAGCCCAAGGACCUAAAACCA
Molecule: long non-coding RNA, 2401 nt
Organism: Pogoniulus pusillus (Red-fronted tinkerbird)
Lineage: Eukaryota; Metazoa; Chordata; Aves; Piciformes; Lybiidae
Exons: 3
Source: RefSeq, a predicted model, not a curated record